RNAcentral lists this transfer RNA (78 nucleotides) under Phytophthora pseudosyringae. Its description in RNAcentral is "tRNA-Asp". The stretch from base 3 to 71 matches the Rfam family "tRNA". Rfam says of the family: Transfer RNA (tRNA) molecules are approximately 80 nucleotides in length. Their secondary structure includes four short double-helical elements and three loops (D, anti-codon, and T loops). Lineage: Eukaryota; Oomycota; Peronosporomycetes; Peronosporales; Peronosporaceae. The record is from RNAcentral.
GGAAAAAUAGCUCAGUUGGUUAGAGUGGUAGCUUGUCACGCUAUAGGUCGCGGGUUCGAGUCCCGUUUUUUAAGUUUA